Molecule: ribosomal RNA, 393 nt
Filed under: uncultured bacterium
Lineage: Bacteria
Description: bacterial SSU rRNA
Rfam family: Bacterial small subunit ribosomal RNA
Source: RNAcentral
AUUAACGCUGGCAGAAUGCAUAACACAUGCAAGUCGAGCGGAUUUAGACCCGCAAGGGUUUGAGUUAGCGGCAGACGAGUGAGCAACACGUAAGAAACCUGCCCUCGAAAGGCGAAUAACGCGCCGCAAGGCGUGCUAAUACGUCGUACUAUCCUUUGGCGGCAUCGCCGACGGAUGAGAGGCCCGCACGGGUCGUUCGAGGCGGGUCUUGCGUCCCAUCAGCUAGUUGGCGGUGUAACGGACCACCAAGGCUAUGACGGGUACCCGGCCGGAAAGGGCGGACGGGCACGAAGGCACUGAGACACGGGCCGUACUCCUACGGGAGGCAGCAGUGGGGAAGUUUGGACAAUGGGCGAAAGCCUGAUCCAGCAAGGCUGCGUGAGGGACGAAAUA